Molecule: transfer RNA, 72 nt
Filed under: Tethya actinia
Lineage: Eukaryota; Metazoa; Porifera; Demospongiae; Tethyida; Tethyidae
Also listed under: 2 other names
Description: tRNA-Cys
Rfam family: tRNA
About the family: Transfer RNA (tRNA) molecules are approximately 80 nucleotides in length. Their secondary structure includes four short double-helical elements and three loops (D, anti-codon, and T loops).
Source: RNAcentral
GGUGUUAUAGCAUAAUUGGUAUUGCAAUAGUUUGCAAAAUUUUUAGUAUAGGUUCAAUUCCUAUUAGCGCUU